RNAcentral lists this long non-coding RNA (238 nucleotides) under Erythranthe guttata (spotted monkey flower). RNAcentral's name for it is "long non-coding RNA (EGUT_LNC000491)". The record is from RNAcentral. Lineage: Eukaryota; Viridiplantae; Streptophyta; Magnoliopsida; Lamiales; Phrymaceae.
AAAGAGAGAGAAGAGACAAACAAAGAGGAGUUACGUUAGUGAAGAUUUUUUCGUAUAGCUAUAACAAUAGGGUUUUAAGAGGUCAAUGGUGAAAUAGUCGGUAAAAUAACUUAUAUACAUUAGAGUGAUAAAUCUAGGGACUUACAGCUAAUUACAAAUAAUUAUCAUCACAUGGAACUAAUUAUAGUGCAUUCCUAGGUACAUAUAUGUUAAUGUAGCUAGUGGUCUAUUAUCAUUA